UUCAAGCCUGAAAAGUCCUUACCAAACAAAGGACAGUCUCACAAAGUCAUUUCGACAAUGUCCCCAUCGCGAAUCGAACCCGGACCUCCAGAUCGUGAGACUAACGCUCUAACCACUAGACCACGGAGACUGUUGAGUUUGAGUUAAUAUCUUAGAAUACGGGUGUUAGUUAGGUCUGUUUUUAAUCUUCGAGAAACCGACUUUAAAACACGCAAAGAAUCGAAAUGAAAAUGUAAAUAAGCGACUAUAACACCGACUUUUAGUACUUUAGCUACUUAAAUUCAUGUUUAUAGUCUAUAUCAAUGCUUACAUAUUCCUUUUCAGCUAUCCGAUGUACUUGUUAUAUUAUUAUAUUUGUAAUAGACUGUUUUCUCAGAGAUAAAUAACUAUAUAAACUUAAUAAAAUGUUCAUUCGUGCAAUACUAUGAAACUGAAACUUAAUUUCGAAAGACAUUAUCGAUUAGUGAAUGAACGAUUGAUCGAAAAAUCAAGGUCGGUUAGUGAACCUUCAAGUUAUUUCGAAAAAUAUCGUUCGAAAUUAAGUUCCUUAUUCCAAUACUGUACGUAUAUGUACAUUCAUGAGCAAUAUAAUGUACCCACUUUAGGACUCUGUCGCACUAGCAUAUUUGACAUUUAGUGAGACUUACAGUUCAAUUUGUCAAAUCAGUUAAUGUGACAUGGUACCAAAGUGUAUACAUAUGCUCGUGACCGUACUUCAAUAGAUAUUUCGCAUUUCUAGUCGUACUGUUGAAUUUCCCAUUGACGUAUAAAAGAUAAUAAAUAAAAGUUGGCCAUUUUAGAGUAUUUCUGUGUAAGUUAACAAGCAAUAUGUGAAGGGAACACGGGCAGUGUUUGAAGGGAAAUCAUGCAAGGGAUAUGUACGUGUGAUUCGUCUUACACUUUAGUUUGAUUUGCAAUUGUGACGUUGAAGGGCCUUGGGUGUCGCAAAAGAGUGAGACAGCAAGCUACGAGAGACAGAGACAGAUAUAGGCUUGCAACUUACGCCUUUACGUUAGGCCGUUGAACUUCAUCUGGCAGGACCGCAUCGUACUUUCCUAUGCUUCUAUGCACUAUCUCGCUCUGGCAAAUGACGAUUCUGAGUGUCAGAAAAGGAUAGAAGUAUAGAUAAGUGCAAUGCGGUGCGGGUACAUGUAUUUCAACCAAUACACGUUUCUUUCAUAAGGUUUCUUGCUCGAAAAGGACGCAAAGGCGAUGCAUUUAAUUAUGAUUAUACCAAAACGAUGUUAUAUUUAUUUUGUAGAUAUGUAAAAAACAUGACGUACAAGAAAGAUCUUGAUGUAAAGUGUCACAGCCUCGCAGUUACCGUGUAGGUUCUAGAAAAUUCUAGAAAGUAACAGAACUCGUCGUCUCUUCAAUAAAUUCACGUAUCUAAAUCAUACAGUUUUUCAUUCUCACUGGCCAUUGGAAACGCCGUUUCGAUGACUCGAAAUAUUAUUGCAUAUUUUAUUUUGAGUUUAAACUCAAAUGAGUGAUAAGCUACAAAUCGUAACUAAUUAUUCUCAUUCAGUAUAAUAUGUAUUCUGAGAUUUUGUAUAUUAUUUUUUUAUUUUUCUUUUUUAUAUAAUAAUGUUUGUAUCUGGUAUAGAUGUUGGAUUGACACCUCGCCCUGUGCGACCGUACAGUUAAUUAAUAGAAUAGUUUCCACGAAUUUAGAUUAAAUUAAGUAUUUCACGGGCCGGUUGUUUCUAGACUCGAAUCUUUACGUUUCAGCCUGUAUACAAUAUCGCCUUUGCCAUUUAGUUUUGAUUCAAUGUUAAGUGAUACGGAAAGUAUAUUUCACAUAAAGUCACCUCUAUAGACAAGGAUAUUUUGGCACGUGGCCGUAAUCCGAACUAACGAAGCAUCUAAGAGCGCUAUUACAUCUCUCAAACACACACCGACAAAAUUGGUGCCGACGAAAAAACAACCAGAUAAAUCGACUUUAUUAUUACUGCACUAUGAUCUUAAUUUGAAUGAAUUACAUUCUGUUUGCCAAAAAACCAUAGUGUGCGGUCUAUCUUUUGACAAACAACGAUCGCAUAGUAAUAAUAAGGUUGAUUUUUCGUUAAAUCGUAAGUCAUGAUCUACGAAUGAUUGAUUGUAAUAUCGCUCUAAUGAAAAAUUUAUAUAAAUGGAGAAUGUAUGGAGAUGGUGCUCACUAGCGCCCCCUCCUGUCAAUAUCAUCCAAGUGCCACAAGAUUAUAGAAUAAAUAACAAUACUAUGUAUAGAACAAUAACUUUUCGCCCUGCACCAAUUGGGUGCCGACCUCACCUCACCCCCUCUGGGUCUUACUUUAGUCUUAAAUGACCGGUAAAGAGUAAAGUGGAGAGCGCACGGACUAUCUAUCUCGCUCGCACUUCUGCGUUAGACAGCAGCACACAGUAAGAAUGAGAUUUGUGUAUGGAGUGUGUGACAAGAACCUUGUCGGCCUAUAAUCGCGCGUUAUGUGUAGAAAAUAAUGCACCAUCUGCAUUGUGCUAAAGGGGUGGACAGAAUCACAAGUAAUUCAGAAGACAACCUCUGUUGAUUCGAGCUCCUAAGAUGGAUAUUAUAGUACAGUUAAUGGCCCCGAUUCCUACAGACUCCCCUAAUUUAAUUUUAAGUUAUAUCUUUUUUAACCGCCGUAAAGAAAAGAGACGGGCAAUCGAUAGACGUAAAAUUUAUGGAACACACGUCAAUUUUAGGCAGAAAUUAAAAACCCCACCCAAAAUUUUAUAUUGGCCAAUAACCCCUCAGAAUUAAGUUGACAGCACAUGUCAAACAGGUUGAAUAGCGGGAUGCCUAUUUUAUUCGCCCGGGUUAUUCAUUUUACAUUUAACAGUUGUCAAUCAUGCGUCCCUUUCCUUUUCGGUAGAUAAGAAUAUGACGGGUAUAACUUAAAAUAAAAUUAGGAGGUGUUUACAGGAGUCGGGGCCAUUAUCAUUGUAAUCCGCCAUAACUAUUAUUUUAGACUGAACAUGAAAAUCUCAAUCUAGAAACAUUUCCGUGACGUAACCAUAGAUAGGCGAUUUUAGACAAAUUUAAUUAUUGUGCUGUAUUUAUGCAAUUAUGUUUUGCAACAAAUAUACUUAUAUAAGUAUUUGUUAUGUCCAUCGGUUUUUGUGAAUUUUGGUGCUGUUUAUGUCUUGUAUUAUUUUAUUUACUUCGCAUACUAUUUUACAUCUCAUAGGACUAAAAACGUAGAAUAAAGAAUUAUAAUACGUAUAGAUCGGUAAGUCUUCGCCCCGCACCAUGUCUUACCGGACGCCUUACCUCACCCCCUCUGGGACUCUAAGGAGUAAGAUGGAGAGCGCGGACUGCUUGUUUCGCUCGCGCACGCGAUUACUCUAGCCAUAGAGGCGGCCAAACAGCUCACGACACUAAACACUUCAGAACCCCGAUACCGACCCCGUCGGCGUAGUCGACGAUUUCCCUUAACGCGCUUAACGCUAUCGACCCACUAGGGUCGAUUCAUUCUUUCAAAUAUUCUUCCUCUCAGACAACGUCCUGAGCCGAGGUUCGCGCCCAACUGGGCACCCUUAGGCCUGUCUUUAAUUUUGUACCGGGUGAGAGCCCUCAGCGGUCCCCAUUUGUGCGGCCAAGUAGUUAAUUCCAUCUACGGCAAAUGUACAAAAAGAAUGAUUCGCUGGCACUUACAUCUUAAGUGGCAAACGGUAACUAUGAGAUUUUUGUAUAGAGUGACCGGGGCUAGAGGGUGUAGGUACGCUAAAACUCGCCAAGGAGCAAGUUACACUGGGCGAUUGAACAGUUUGUAGAAUUUACCAGUAUAAGUUGGUCUAUCCCGCGACGGAUAGGCGCGAGUUUUAAGGUACAAUCAUAAACUAUCAUUUCGAUACUAUAAUGCAACUUUACUUUUAGUGCAUUUAGUAACUUUUAUUCUUUUCAACAGUUUUACUCAAAACUAUAUUUCUCUUCUAGUUAUACUUACUUCAGGCUGUCAUUGGUACGUAAAUGAUAUUUAUAUUAUUCCUAAUUCAUUAUUCAGUAGCUUUUUAUCGUGGAAUAAUAAUUGCUGAAUAUAUUUGUUUAUGGUCCUAUGACAUGUAUUAUAAUAAUGUGAAGUGGACACGCGGCUGCGCGUGAGUUGUAAAUUUUGCAUUUUUCCUGACAUAUCUGUGUUUGUAAAUACGGUUCAAGAUCUUAUCGGUGUUACGAAUACGACGUGUACUAAUGUAAAUCAUCGGCAACUCAAUUAAAUGAAAUGCUCUUUUAA
This is a long non-coding RNA of Pectinophora gossypiella (pink bollworm), 4214 nucleotides long. RefSeq lists it as uncharacterized. The transcript is spliced from 2 exons. The record is from RefSeq and is a predicted model, not a curated record. NCBI's taxonomy places the organism in Eukaryota, Metazoa, Arthropoda, Insecta, Lepidoptera, Gelechiidae.